AUUCAAUGUGAUUGGGGUCAUAAGAGAAGAAACAGACACAGAGAGAGCAAUGUGGCCGCAGAGGCAGACAUUGCAGCCCUAGGCCUACAAACCUAGGAACACAGGGAUUGCCAGCAACUAGAGAAGAGAAGAGAAAGGCACAGACAGCUGUCCCCUGCAGCCUCCGAGAAAGCAAGGCCCUACCCACCCCCACCCCCCUGACUGUAGAUGUUCUAGAAAUGUGAACCACUAGGCUUCUGUUGUGUUAAGCCACUUAGUUUGCUAUAGUUCCUGACAGCAGCCCCAGCAAACCAACACAAGGACUAACUAGCAAUGGGGGUUGGUAAGCCAAGUUCAAUUCACAGGGUGGAAGGAAAGGCAGUCACAUUUCCACGCUCCUCCUCAUCUUGCUUUAAAUUCCAUCUUUGAACUUGUGUUUUGCUUACCAGGGUAACCUCCCCUGCCACCUUUGGACCUGCCUGACCCCCACCACAGUGUGCGAGUGUCAACUGCAUUGUGUGCGUCGAUCACAGCAAGUGUCAGGAGGCGCCCGGUAAGCCAGCUGAACCUGGCUCAAGUGAGAAUUGACACCAACCGAGGACACAGAUACAACUGACAGUGCAAGAUGUGACUGUGCAGUAAGAAAUGACUCAGGCCAGGGUCUCACCAGGAAGGGAAUUGCUGAAUUACUCUGUGCAGUUACAGUAUUUUCUCAUAUGAACGUCUCUCAUCAGGGUCAAUCUGUCUGGAUGGUUGAAGGGCUCCCGGAGAUUCCUCCUUGAUUAACUCACCUUCGUUGCUUGUAUGUGGCUGAGAUGCCAUCUUGCAUCCUCAUUCCUUGGGUUCCCAAAGUCCUUUGUCAGUUUUUCAACUACAGCACAGACAUCGCCUGAGAAGGUUCACGGUUUACACUCUUAGCAGCAGCCAGCAGUUGUUUACUGUGUGGUUCCAGCCUGGGACCUACAGGGUACACUGAGCAUGUCACAGGGAAGGCCAGGGAUGUGGCCUAGGACCAGGUCAUCAUAAUCAUCUCUUUUAGCCAGCUUUUUUUCUGCUGUGACCAAAAGACCUGACAAGAACAAUUUUAGAAGAGGAAAAGUUUAUCCGGGGCUCAUGGUUCCAAAGGUUUCUGUCCACAGAAGGCCGGCUCCAUUCCUCAAGGCCUGAGGCAAGGCAGUGUGGCAGAGGAAAGCAUCAUGGCACCAGGAAGCAGACAGAGAGAGAGAGUCUAAGCUCAUCUCACAAAAUAUAUUCACCCAAAGGCACAUCCCCAGUGAUCCACCUCCUCCAGCCACACCCUACUUGCAUAUAGUCACAGCUGCCUGAUGGGGACUAACUCAGGGACUAAGUUAAGGUUCUUAUAACCCCAUCAUUUCACCUCUGAAGUUUCUUGCGUUGUCCCAUACAAGAGCCAAGAUUCAAGGAACAUCCGGGUAGGAACAGUGAUAAUGGACUUGGAAAGCUUGAACUAUGUUUUCAAAAUAGAAAGAAGUUCAUGGGCCAAAUGAAGAGUUCUGUCUUCUAUGUGUGAUUUGUGGUCAGGCCCAUCCACUCCGUGCUCAGCUGAUCACUAGCUCUGUGACGGUGAGCAGGUGGCUCCUCUCUGUGAGCUUCAGGGUCCUUCUCAUCUGUGAAAGGGGAUGACAAUACUACCUACCUCAGUAGGAGGUUGCAAGAUGCAAUGAGAUGAAUCACCUAAGGUGUUGUGUCUGCCUAAAACUAAAAAAUAAAUAUUAAGAAUUAAAAAAAAAAAAAAAAAAGAAACGAGCCCAGUGUUUGGCACAGAAUAUUCAAUGAAUGUUAGUUUAACAUCAGUCUGAAUUUUUUCUCCUUCAUUAAUAUAUAGUCGUUUCUUCAUGUAAUGCCAGUUUUUGCUAAAACUGUCUUGUUCCACAGAGUGAUCCAGGGCCCUAUUUUCAGUCUGCACAAGGAGAUUAGCUGUCCUUCCAAAAAGCAUUCAGGUCCCCACACUGGGCAGGGAGGGCCCCACUAUGCCACCUGUGUGUUUGUCACAUUGAAAAUACACCCACAUAAAAAGAGCAUCAGGACAAGAGGAAUUCCUCAACUGUUUUUGCCUUCUAAUACUUGGAGCUUUACAUAUAUGUGCCCUUUACAAAUAUUAAGUCAUUUCUUCUGUAUAUAAUUUCAUCACAUAAAUUUGAUUAUUAUCCCUAUUUUACACUCAAGGAAAUGGAGGGACUGAAGGUCAGGUCACUUCCUGAGAUAACACAGCCGGUGUGGGCAGUGAAGCCAGGAUUUAAAUCAGACAUUCUGACUCCAGUCUCUGACCUAUGAAGUAGCCUGCUGUGUGUGGGCAUGUGCCUGGUGGACGGAUGGACACACACACACACACACACACACACACACACACACACUGCAUAGCUUUUACUUUCCAUUACGCUGACUUUCACUGUUCCUGAAAAUGUGUGAUGGUCCUAGCUUUAUAUUUUUCUUUUUCCUUUUUUUGUCUUCCUCCUUCCCUCCUUCCCUCUCUCCCUCUCUUUCUCUCUUCCAAGGAUGGAACCCAGUCCUUGUUAUCUGAGCGGUGCUCUGCCACUGAGCCACACCCUAGCCUGCCUAGAUGAUUUCCUAUGCAAUCACUCAUGGAGUGGUGGAGUGGGAAGGAGGGGUUGGGGGGCUCACGGGGACAGGUCUCUGCUACCUCUUCAGGGAGGCAGAGAGUGACCAGCAGGGUGGAGUUGCCAUCUCUAGAUAGUUCUGCCCUCGGUCCUUAUCUCCACUCUCAGCUGAAGCUGACCAGCCUGAGGUAGUGAGGGAGAGUUGUUGAGGACCAGCUCCCAGAUGAGCAGGGAGGGAGGGAAAGGGAACUUGAGAAUGCUAAGGUCAAAUAUGGUGAGGAAAGAGCCUAAGGUGACAGAGAAGGGUGCGGGGAGAGGGUCUGCCCCCCCUGGGGAAAAACAUUCAGUGGCCAUAUCACCACUUCCCAGGGCUCUGCAAAUUGUCUGUGCCCAGCGAGACAGGAAGGCAGCUCUGCAGAGGAAACCAGGGCCCCCUCAGCACUCCAGCCCCUCUGGAGUUAGGUCCCAGCUCCUGGGCCAGUUAUAAAGACACUUCGCCACUGUGCUUGGGAAGAUGGAGUGACAGUGAAGGAUCUAGUAGUCGGAAGACUCCAGAAGCCCAAAGCUGGCUCCAGCUGGACAGACCUGGUAGAUAUGCACAGACGGAUGCCAUUUUUGCCAGGCCCUGAACUGUGAGAGGGUUACUUUGAUUUGCUGCCAUUGUGUGGGAAAAACUGUCAGGAACGGCCGUGGAGAGGCAGAGAGGUUGGGAAGCUCUUUAGGAGGGAACAAGGAGAAAGCUGGAGGCCAAAUGAUUGAGAGGGACAGGAGACGACACAGGUGGCCCCAAGCAGUGUGGAAAACAGAAGCUACUGACUGCAGUAGGGAAUGGGGCGGAGGAGGGGAGCUUUGGUCAGCUGUGUGUCACUGACACAAAAUACGUGAUGAGAACAACUUAGAGGAGGAAAGUUGAUGUGGGGCUCAACCUUCCAGAGUUUCAGUCCAUAGACAGCCGUGGUCACUGUAUUUGAGCCCAGUGUGAGGCAAACACCAUGGCCAAAGCUGCCCAGCUCGUGGUGGCCAGGGUGGGGCAGGGGUCACAGUGAAGAUGCACCCUUCCAGGCCUUGCUCCCUGUGACCCACCUGCCUCCAGUGACCACCCAGUCAGUCCAUUCAAACCAGGAUGGACUGAUGAGGCUACAGCCCUCACAAUCCAGUCAUCUCACCCUGGAAUAUUCCUGCAUUAACACGGCUGUUUUGCAUCUAAGCCCUAACAAGGAGGGAUCCUGGGACCCACCACAAUGACAAAGUGAUUGUGAAGUCUGGUACUAUGGGAGAAAGAAAGGCAGGGUUGUGCAAAAUCCUAGAGUCUUAGGUUAUGUUUUUGGUAAUUCUCCCACUGGUUUUUUUUUUUUCUCCUGACACUGGGAGGUUGAACCUGGGCAUUUUACCACUGAGCUACGUCCCCAAUCCUUUUUAUUUUUUAUUUUGAGACAAGGUCUCACUAAUUUGUUGAUGCUGGCCUCAAACUUGCAAUCCUCCUGCCUCAGCCUCCCAAGUAGCUGGGAUUAUACACCACUGUGGCUGGCUUCCCCACUAGUGUUUCUAUACUGACUAAACUGUUGGAAUGGGAGCAAAGCAGGAACAAAAUGUCACUUUCUUCAGGGGUAGUAGGUGAGGAAGAGUUGGGGGUGGUAUGGGGCCGUGAGGCUGCACAGUGACCCUUAAGUGGACAGUUUUAUGUAUUCACUUGUUUUUAGCACAGGCUGGUAGGGCUUCAGCUAACAGCCUGCCAGUCCCUCCUCUGUUUACCUUGCCAUGAGGACAGUGCCAGGGAGACUCUCGAGGGCUUCCAGUACAUUUUUGAAUUGGCUGUUUCUCAUUACCUCACCCCAGUGAGAAGAUGGAUUUCUCAACCACCCACUGCCAGUAGGUGAACUUGGAAUGCCCUAGUGACUCCGGGUGAGCAGGUAGCAGCAGGACGGUGGCUUUGGUUGCUUCACUGUCUGAUUCUCGGAGAUUCAUAGAAAUGCUAAUCUGGAGUGGUUGCCAUUCUUGGUGAAAGGUCAGGUCCAGGUGGGACUCCCCACAAAUCCUGGAGCAAGCACCCUUUCUUGUCUCAGUGGUGGAGGCCCCGAUUCAACCCCCAGCACCAAGAAAAUAAAAACAAAAACCAAUCAUAACCUUUCUUAUUAUAGAAAAUUGUAUUUGUGCUAGGUGCAGUGCCUGUGGUCUCAGCUACUCAGGAGGCUGAGGCAGGAGGAUUGCUUGGGCUCAGGAGUUCAAAGCCAGUCUAGACAACCC
Molecule: long non-coding RNA, 4802 nt
Filed under: Marmota monax (woodchuck)
Lineage: Eukaryota; Metazoa; Chordata; Mammalia; Rodentia; Sciuridae
Source: RNAcentral